AAUGAACGUUGGCGGCAUGGAUUAGGCAUGCAAGUCGAGCGAGAAGAGUUUUGAAGCUUGCUUUAGAACUCGGACAGCGGCGAAAGGGAGAGUAACGCGUAGUUAUGUGCCCUAGGGUCCGGAAUAGCCACGGGAAACUGUGGGUAAUGCCGGAUAACAUCCCCGGAUCAAAGGUGUGAUUUCGCCCUAGGAGCAGACUGCGUCAUACUAGCUAGUUGGUGGGGUAAUGGCCCACCAAGGCAAUGAUGGGUAGCGGGUGUGAGAGCAUGACCCGUCUCACUGGGACUGAGACACUGCCCAGACACCUACGGGUGGCUGCAGUCGAGAAUCUUCGGCAAUGGGCGAAAGCCUGACCGAGCGAUGCCGCGUGCGGGAUGAAGGCCCUCGGGUUGUAAACCGCUGUCGUAGGGGAGGAAGGUUCCGUGAAGAGCGGAAUUUGACCUAUCCUAGGAGGAAGUACGGGCUAAGUUCGUGCCAGCCGCCGCCGUAA
Molecule: ribosomal RNA, 490 nt
Filed under: uncultured bacterium
Lineage: Bacteria
Description: partial 16S ribosomal RNA
Rfam family: Bacterial small subunit ribosomal RNA
Source: RNAcentral